RNAcentral lists this long non-coding RNA (301 nucleotides) under Parus major (Great Tit). Its description in RNAcentral is "lncRNA (ENSPMJG00000018300.1)". Lineage: Eukaryota; Metazoa; Chordata; Aves; Passeriformes; Paridae. The record is from RNAcentral.
CUCAUCAAUGAAUCACAACGCUGCACGGAACAAGUAACUUUCCUUAAAGGACCCCCUCUAAAAUCUUUUCAGGUUUCAGAAAUAUAUUGCCAGUAGGGAAUUAAAAAGGCAAAAAGUGUUGCUUAGCCUAUCUGUAGAGAGAACGACAUGAAAUAACAGGAAUAUGCAAAACUAAACCAGCCCAACACUGACAGCUGGACUAAUCAUCAUAAAGAAACUCAGUGACCAUACUUUGAUGACAAGCCAGAUGGCAGCUGUUCCCCAAGCCCAGUGCCAAGAAAGAUGAUUGGAGCUGCAAUUU